This 464-nucleotide long non-coding RNA is filed under the name Homo sapiens (human). RNAcentral describes it as "HSALNT0374299". The record is from RNAcentral. Lineage: Eukaryota; Metazoa; Chordata; Mammalia; Primates; Hominidae.
UUGGCCCACAGUGUUCUUAUCUUAUAGAACACACAAUUAGCCAGUGAAAAACUCAUAACUAGUCUAUCUAGUGGAGAAAAAUUCUUGUGGGCAGUUUGAAAGCCUCUAAGAGAAGAUUAUGAAGUUUGGAACCAGAUGCCAGGAGACACGAGGAAGGCUGUAGAUGCUUUGAACUUGUCUACUGGAGGAAUAUGCUAUGUUGUGUACUUCAUCUCUAUGAAUAUUUAGCAAGGAUUUCUACUGAACGUUUGCAGUAAUAAAAAGUAUGCCAUCAGUUUUAAUAAAGAGACACCCACUUCAAUUACUAUUUGUUACAACACUUCCAGUAUCACUUGUGACAAAUUUCAAUUAUAGUUGAAAUCCAAAGCAUAAUCCAGUUCAGAGAGACACAUGGAAGUGACCCUUGAGCUUUAUUUUGUUAAGUUAAAGUUAAAACAUUGCUUUUAUUUCAUCAUGUCGACAAA